GAUGAACGCUGGCGGCGUGCCUAAUACAUGCAAGUCGAGCGAACAGAUAAGGAGCUUGCUCCUUUGACGUUAGCGGCGGACGGGUGAGUAACACGUGGGUAACCUACCUAUAAGACUGGGAUAACUUCGGGAAACCGGAGCUAAUACCGGAUAACAUUUGGAACCGCAUGGUUCUAAAGUGAAAGAUGGUUUUGCUAUCACUUAUAGAUGGACCCGCGCCGUAUUAGCUAGUUGGUAAGGUAACGGCUUACCAAGGCGACGAUACGUAGCCGACCUGAGAGGGUGAUCGGCCACACUGGAACUGAGACACGGUCCAGACUCCUACGGGAGGCAGCAGUAGGGAAUCUUCCGCAAUGGGCGAAAGCCUGACGGAGCAACGCCGCGUGAGUGAUGAAGGGUUUCGGCUCGUAAAACUCUGUUAUUAGGGAAGAACAAUUGUGUAAGUAACUGUGCACGUCUUGACGGUACCUAAUCAGAAAGCCACGGCUAACUACGUG
RNAcentral lists this ribosomal RNA (497 nucleotides) under uncultured bacterium. RNAcentral describes it as "partial 16S ribosomal RNA". It matches the Rfam family "Bacterial small subunit ribosomal RNA", at positions 28 to 507 of the family's 1533-position model. The record is from RNAcentral.